AGCUGUGUUUCCGCAAAGCAUGGAUUUGUAGCGUGAUCGAAUUCUAGCAAACAAUUCCUCUAAAAGCGGACAGUCUUGGACCAGCAUUGAGAUAAGAUAAAAAGAAGAUCAAGUCAAGUGUGUUGUUAGAAAAACGAGGAGAGCUUUACCGACCAUUUUAAGGAAGUCCUGUACAUCUAAUGUGACAAUAUGAUAGGCGAAAAAUAUAUAUAUAAAUAUAUAUUAAAUAUAUUUAUAUUUAUAUUGAUGAUUAUAUAUUCUUAAAAUGUUUAUUAAAUUGAAUAAAAUAAAUACAGGGGAAUAUCUAUUAAGAAAAUCAUGACCUUGUAAAAGGUUGUUCAAUUGACCGCUACUGCAUAUGAAAUAUUUACAUGCAGAUCAUGAGGUGACAUGUAACAAUUAGUUAAACACUGGACAUACGUGUAUUGCAUACCAUGUGGAGACAUGUAGCAAUAACAAUUAGUUAAAACACUGGACAUGCGUGUAUUCUUUGAGCAUUAAUUUCCAGGUUGGCCAAAACAUGUCAAUUAGAGUCAACUUAAUAGAUAUUCAUCCCUGUAUCUUUUGAUUUAAGACUAUAAUGGUCAAAUUAAUAGAAACCUUGAAACUGCUUAUAUUCUGUAUAUAUACUUGUGUAUUUUACUGUAUAGAGGAGACCGUCCGUUAUGGACACUGGUCCAGACGGGCUUGAAUAAACUACUAUUCCAAAUAACCAUGUGUUGUGUUACAUGUGGUUAUUUUUGGUUAACCGUGACCAAAGGAUAAUAAGGUGUUUAGCCAAGAGAAUUUAGUAAUAGAGAGAUUCAAAUAGUCACACGAUACAUUGGUGGCGAUCAAAUGGUGUCAACUGAUGUUGAGGGCGAUGGUACUGCCUACAGAGAUGUUAAAAUAGCUUCUGCACCAUUACUGAGAACCAGCCACUAAGAACCAUUAUCCAGUAUUGGAUAUUGGCUUUGAUCAUUGGACACAACGCAGACGUUAAGAUUUACAUAAAACUAUACGAUCACAUAACUUUUUAUUGGUAGAGGGAAUCGUUCUACAGCAUCACAGGUAGAUUUUCCUGUAAUGUUUCAGCCGGUGAUAACUGAGCAACCUAGUCAGGGACUCUGAAUUAACAGAGUAGGUAAGCUAGGUCAGUUAGGAGUAAAUCAACAACGGAUGGUGGAUCACAUGAAGGACGGAUGGUGGAUCACAUGAAGUACGGAUGGUGGAUCACAUGAAGGACGGAUGGUGGAUCACAUGAAGUACGGAUGAUGGAUCACAUGAAGGACGGAUGGUGGAUCACAUGAAGUACGGAUGGUGGAUCACAAGAAGUACGGAUGGUGGAUCACAUGAAGGACGGAUGGUGGAUCACAUGAAGUACGGAUGGUGGAUCACAUGGAGUACGGAUGGUGGAUCACAUGAAGGUCGGAUGGUGGAUCACGUGAAGUACGGAUGGUGGAUCACAUGAAGUUGGAAUGAUUGCAGAACUUCUAAAUGACGGGAAUUGGUGUCGCAGAUAAACAAAUGGAUUGUUGGAGUUGACAACGACGAUCAGAGGAGCAGUUCACUGGAGUCGGGGUUAUGAAGACGGUCCGCAGUUGAUGGUUGCGCCUUUUUCUAGGAAUAAGAAGUUCCAAUAGUUGAUGUUACGAACUUAGAUGUUCACACAAGAAUUGUAUGAACUAUACAUUGCUGAACAUUUAGAUGUUGUUGAACUUUUGAAAUGAUUUUAUUUAUGAAUAUUUUUGUUGUUUUUAGGGAAAUUUGCAAGUAUUCAUAUUGUCACCGAUUUUAACUAAAAUAUAAAUUAUAUUUCUUAAGAAAGGGAGGAAUGUGACAAUAUGAUAGGCGAAAAAUAUAUAUAUAAAUAUAUAUUAAAUAUAUUUAUAUUUAUAUUGAUGAUUAUAUAUUCUUAAAAUGUUUAUUAAAUUGAAUAAAAUAAAUACAGGGGAAUAUCUAUUAAGAAAAUCAUGACCUUGUAAAAGGUUGUUCAAUUGACCGCUACUGCAUAUGAAAUAUUUACAUGCAGAUCAUGAGGUGACAUGUAACAAUUAGUUAAACACUGGACAUACGUGUAUUGCAUACCAUGUGGAGACAUGUAGCAAUAACAAUUAGUUAAAACACUGGACAUGCGUGUAUUCUUUGAGCAUUAAUUUCCAGGUUGGCCAAAACAUGUCAAUUAGAGUCAACUUAAUAGAUAUUCAUCCCUGUAUCUUUUGAUUUAAGACUAUAAUGGUCAAAUUAAUAGAAACCUUGAAACUGCUUAUAUUCUGUAUAUAUACUUGUGUAUUUUACUGUAUAGA
Molecule: long non-coding RNA, 2285 nt
Organism: Mytilus trossulus (common blue mussel)
Lineage: Eukaryota; Metazoa; Mollusca; Bivalvia; Mytilida; Mytilidae
Exons: 3
Source: RefSeq, a predicted model, not a curated record